Molecule: non-coding RNA, 45 nt
Organism: Aptenodytes forsteri (emperor penguin)
Lineage: Eukaryota; Metazoa; Chordata; Aves; Sphenisciformes; Spheniscidae
Source: Rfam
GAACUGGUGCUUCUAAGCACCAAAAUUAUAUACAUAGAUAUCUAA